This 586-nucleotide ribosomal RNA is filed under the name uncultured bacterium. RNAcentral's name for it is "partial 16S ribosomal RNA". It matches the Rfam family "Bacterial small subunit ribosomal RNA", at positions 355 to 1375 of the family's 1533-position model. The record is from RNAcentral.
UGGGGAAUUUUGGACAAUGGGCGAAAGCCUGAUCCAGCAAUGCCGCGUGUGUGAAGAAGGCCUUCGGGUUGUAAAGCACUUUUGUCCGGAAAGAAAUCCUUGGCUCUAAUACAGUCGGGGGAUGACGGUACCGGAAGAAUAAGCACCGGCUAACUACGUGCCAGCAGCCGCGGUAAUACGUAGGGUGCAAGCGUUAAUCGGAAUUACUGGGCGUAAAGCGUGCGCAGGCGGUUUGCUAAGACCGAUGUGAAAUCCCCGGGCUCAACCUGGGAACUGCAUUGGCGACUGGCAGGCUAGAGUAUGGCAGAGGGGGGUAGAAUUCCACGUGUAGCAGUGAAAUGCGUAGAGAUGUGGAGGAAUACCGAUGGCGAAGGCAGCCCCCUGGGCCAAUACUGACGCUCAUGCACGAAAGCGUGGGGAGCAAACAGGAUUAGAUACCCUGGUAGUCCACGCCCUAAAACGAUGUCAACUAGUUGUUGGGGAUUCAUUUCCUUAGUAACGUAGCUAACGCGUGAAGUUGACCGCCUGGGGAGUACGGUCGCAAGAUUAAAACUCAAAUGAAUUGACGGGGUCAUAGCUGUUUCCU